Molecule: long non-coding RNA, 2792 nt
Filed under: Mus musculus (house mouse)
Lineage: Eukaryota; Metazoa; Chordata; Mammalia; Rodentia; Muridae
Description: RIKEN cDNA 5430421F17 gene
Source: RNAcentral
ACUCAGCACAUAGGGGAGAGGCAAAGAAGCCUGGGAUAAUGUUAGAGUCAGGUAUGACCUUGCCAGAGACCGGAUUCCAGUCGUGGGAUUCUCCUGCAUAAAGGCUGGAAGAAAUGAUCUGGGCUGCUGAGCACAGGAAGCAGAAGGUGUGCUUCUGACUCAUAACCCCCUCCGCUCGAGUGUGUCAGAGCAUCUCCUGUGGAGUUGGAGAGAUGCAGCCAGCUGGAGCUUGGGGCUAGGAUAGGAAGCUUUGUCUCCUGUGGUGGGCUUGCUACCCAGGUGCCUUUGAAUCAUAUAGCUCAGGGUUGACUCCUGAGUGUGACAAACAGAGAUAGUAACUUAAAUCUGCCGGCUUGUGGUUCAAAUGAGCCCUGUCUUGUACUUGAAAAGGAGGUUAGGUGAUGGCCUGGAGUUGCCAAAGCAGACACCUCAGUAUAGGAGGAUUCUCAGAGACAGUCUGAUUUGUCCUCUGAGACCCCACGCCACUGUGUCGUGGAAGACAAACUUAGUUUUCUAGUCUCGUUUCCAUCUCAUGUUCCGGAACAGAUUUCUUUGGAUAAUUUUAUCUCUUUUGGAGAAAUGCUGGUCUUUUAGAUGUCCAUGUCUCCCUUUCUUCAUCGGGGUGGCCCCUGGGCAUAUAACAGAGAGGAGCAAGCUUGCUUCCAUACGGUAUUUCCUGAUUACCCUCUAUGUCUGAUGGAAUGUGGCUGGUCAGCUCUCCCUGGACCAGUGACUGUAUGUCCUGGCCGUUGGCAUUCAGCCAGGGUCUGUUCUAAAGCCUAUUGUUGGAUCGCUUGUGGUUCUGAGUCAGAGCCCAGGUUCCUUUUUUCCCUAAUUCCUCUCCUCCUUAACCAAAUCCCAGCCCUGGUUCAGUGGGCUGCUGGGUUUGGCUGGGAUGCUGUAACGCUAUGGAGGUCAGGACCCUAGCAAUGUGUCUGGUAGCCCUUGGCCCCAGUGCCAUCCUGAUGCCACCACAGACUUCCUCUCUGGUAAAUUCUGCAGCCAGACUCAACCAGACUCUGUGCCCCACCCCUGCAGGAGCCCAGAGGAAACUGGGGUUCUUUCCAUACCACACAGGAACUGAGGGAAGCCUGGGAAAGCGAAACCCCGAGUCCUUCCAUUGCCGAGUCACUCUGUGCUCUUCAGUGUGUUCAGAUGUGGCCACUCUCAGAUGGGUGUGGUGAGCCUGUUUCCAUGCAGAAUACCAACCAAGAAAGAAGGAGAAAGGACAUGCAUUGUGGUUAAUUUAUCUGCUAUACCUUCACACUAGGGAAGCCCAGGGCAGACCAAUGUGUCCCUCCAGCUUUGGUCUCCCUCCUACUUUCCGAGGGCCUGGAUAAGAAAUGGGCCAGCAUCCUGCCUCUACAAUGUAUGCUUCUUCUCUCAUCCUAGAGCCUGGCCUCCCUGCCUAGUUGCACAGACAGAGACAGGACUCUGGGCAUGGAAAUAACUCUGGCCUGAGUUCUGCCUACAGGCUUGUUUCUGGUUAUCCAAUUGGGGGAGUGAAAGAAAAUUGGAAAAUCCUGUUUGUCCUUCCACAAAGCCUAGCUAUUACCAUGAUUGUGUCUGUAAAACCCAUUGGCAGGUGAGAGUUUCAAUGUUAAUGUUUGCACACCCACGCUGAAGAAAGCCAAUGACUCUAGGUGAAGACACAGGUCAGUUAGGGAAACAACAGAGCAGAAAAUAUACUCCACCACCACCACCACCAACAACAACAACAACAGCAAUAGCCAGUUUGCCUCCAGACACUCUUCCAUCUAAAAGAACUGGAUUCCUGAGACAGUACUGGAAAGUGCACUAUGGAAAAUCUGACACACUCUUCUAAAGUGUAUGUGGAUACUCGCUUUAUUAUUAUCAUUACUAUGCUUCCAAGAUGCUCAUCUCUCAGAUGUUGGCCUAGGGCAACUUCUGAUGAGUGGUGUUUAGCGUACUGACUCAGAAGGAUGCUUUGAAGCUCCCAGCAGCUUCUCUUCCAGUAAGAAUCUUUCAUGAGUUGUCCCGAAGCAUCUGUCUGUCCCUAAGCAUCUGUCACGGACUACUUUCCAGCACCGGUGGGCAGCUUCAGUGAUUAUUACCAGAUUCUACUCUGUCCUUUUUAUGAUGCUGGUUCCCUUUCUCCCCACCUCCGCCUCCCUGCCAUCAUAACUCCCGUGAAAACCGGCUAUCGUGACCUAGAAAAGGAAUCAGAGAAAUGGGUUCCUGCUUAAGAAAAUGGACAGAUGGGGUCGGUGAGAUGGCUCAGUGGUUAAGAGCACUGACUGCUCUUCUGGAGGUCAUGAGUUCAAAUCCCAACAACUACAUGGUGGCUCACAACCAUCUGUAAUGAGAAACAAAUAAAAUUUAAAAAACAAACAAACAAACAAAAAACAAUAACAACAAAACCCUAGGGGUCAGAGUGAGCAGGGACUGGAGCAAGAGGGAAAAGGGAAGGGGGAGAAGAAAAGAAGAUGGACAGAUGAACACUCCAACUCUACUCCAUGAAGUCUAUUGGUCUUUUCUGUGGAGGAGGUAGGAUUAACAAUGAGACAAUUAGAAAAUAGAAUUAAGCCAAGCUCUUGGAACCUCCUCUAGGAACAGUAAGAAUUCAAAAGGGGGCUGGAGAGAUGGCUUGGUGGUCAAGAGCAUGGAGUGCACUUCCUAAAGUCUGGAGUUUGAUUCCCAGCACCCACUCCAAGAGGCUCACGACUGCCUACAACCCCAGCUCAGAUCUCAUCUCAUCUCUGGUCGUUGUGAGCACCUCCACUCAUGUGGGCACACUCCCGCGCUGAUAUACACAUGAUUUAAAAUGAUAC